AAUCAACGCUGGCGGCGUGCCUAACACAUGCAAGUCGAACGCGAAAGUCCCGCAAGGGGCAAGUAGAGUGGCAAACGGGUGAGUAACACGUGGGUGACCUGCCUUCGAGUGGGGGAUAACGUCCCGAAAGGGACGCUAAUACCGCAUGACAUCCUGCUUUUGGAAAAGCGGAGAUCAAAGCCGGGGAUCGCAAGACCUGGCGCUCGAAGAGGGGCCCGCGCCUGAUUAGCUAGUUGGGAGGUAC
RNAcentral lists this ribosomal RNA (244 nucleotides) under uncultured bacterium. Its description in RNAcentral is "partial 16S ribosomal RNA". It matches the Rfam family "Bacterial small subunit ribosomal RNA", at positions 32 to 259 of the family's 1533-position model. The record is from RNAcentral.